This 253-nucleotide ribosomal RNA is filed under the name uncultured bacterium. RNAcentral describes it as "partial 16S ribosomal RNA". It matches the Rfam family "Bacterial small subunit ribosomal RNA", at positions 524 to 776 of the family's 1533-position model. The record is from RNAcentral.
GACGGAGGGUGCAAGCGUUGUUCGGAUUUACUGGGCGUAAAGGGCGCGUAGGCGGCCCUCCUUGUCGCGUGUGAAAGCCCCGGGCUCAACCUGGGAAUUGCGCGCGAAACGGGGGGGCUUGAGUUCGGGAGAGGAGCGUGGAAUUCCCAGUGUAGAGGUGAAAUUCGUAGAUAUUGGGAAGAACACCGGUGGCGAAGGCGGCGCUCUGGACCGAGACUGACGCUGAGGCGCGAAAGCGUGGGGAGCAAACAGG